AUGUUGCACGGUCCAUGUGGCGCGCUCAAGAAAAGUUGCCCUUGCAUGAUAGAUGGACAAUGUCGGUUUCAUUACCCUCGAGAUUUCUGUGAUGCUACAUUACAAGGGAAAGACUCAUAUCCCAUCUAUAGAAGGAGGGAUGAUGGGGUGAGAGUUAGGAUCAGAGGAGCUGAUUUGGACAAUAGAUGGGUGGUCCCUUACAACCCCUUUCUGCUGAUGACAUACAACUGUCACAUUAAUGUCGAAGCAUGCUCGAGCAUCAAGGCAGUGAAGUACUUAUUCAAGUACAUCUACAAAGGGCAUGAUAAGGCAUCAUUUGCGUUCCAUCAGGAUAUUAUCAAUGAUGGGGGAAUCAUUGAUGAAAUUCGACAAUAUAGGGAUGCACGCUAUAUAUCUCCUCCCGAAGCUAUCUACAGGAUUUUUGGCUUUAAAAUGUUUGGUGUCAGCCCAGCUGUAUUGCAGCUCCAGCUUCAUUUGCCAAACAAGCAUACAGUCGCAUUUCAGGCUUAUGAAAAUCUGCAAGAUGUUGUCGCUCGGCCAUCUUCUUCCAAAUCCAUGCUUACCGAGUACUUUCAGAUGAACCAAAAGUAUCCAGAGGCACGAAAAUUGUUGUACAGAGAGUUCCCAGAACAUUAUAGGUGGAUAUCCGGUAAUAAGAAGUGGCAACCGAGGAAAAAUAAGAGAUCACAGAUUGGAAGAUUGGUGCAUGCACACCCUGCUGAAGGAGAGAGGUACUACCUGAGGGUGCUCCUAAACCAUGUCCGAGGUGCCACUUCAUUUGAUGAUUUAAAAACAAUAAAUGGCAAGCCAUGCGGAUCCUUCAGAGAGGCGUGCGAGCAAUUAGGCCUCAUUGAGCAUGACAGGACACUUGAUGAUUGCAUGACAGAGGCAGCAACAUUUCAAAUGCCUUCUGCUCUUAGACGGUUGUUUGCGACUAUACUGGUAUUCUGUGAGGCAACACAAAUCCGUCAGUUGUGGGACAAACAUCUAGCAUCCAUGUCUGAAGAUUAUCGCCGUACUCAAUCGAAUGAGGCAGCACUAGAGCAAAUGGUCCUUAGGGAUAUUAGGGAUCUGUUGCAAUCCAUGGGAAAGAAUAUUAAACACUAUGGACUUCCGGAUCUGGUUGACGCAGAUGGUUCUUCUGAUGUUGAGAAUAGAGAGGUAACAGAGGAGAGAGAGGUCACGGUGGACCAAGAACAUCUAGAUCUAUUUAGUUGUUUGAACAAUGAGCAACUAGCUGGUUUCAAUGACAUAAUGGAGCAUGUGACGAACCAGAAAAGCCAGAUUUUCUUCGUUGAUGGCCCAGGAGGCACUGGGAAGACGUACCUGUACAAGGCAUUGCUUGCGAAGGUCCGUUCGAUGGGCCUAAUAGCGAUCGCAACUGCUACAUCAGGUAUUGCAGCAUCGAUAAUGCCUGGAGGUCGGACUGCACACUCCAGAUUCAAAAUUCCAAUCAAGCUGACUGACAACAGCAUGUGUAGCUUCACAAAGCAGAGUGGUACGGCAGAGUUGCUUAAACAGGCGUCCUUGAUAAUUUGGGAUGAAGUUGCUAUGACAAAGCGUCAAGCAGUUGAGACGCUUGAUAGAUCGCUACAGGAUAUAAUGGAAUGUCCUUUACCAUUUGGUGGAAAGGUUAUCGUCUUUGGUGGCGAUUUCAGGCAGGUACUCCCCGUUGUGACACGAGGGACAAGAGCACAGAUCACUGAUGCUACACUGUUGAGAUCCUAUCUGUGGCAGAAGAUCCGGAAGAUAUGCCUCACACGCAAUAUGCAGGCACAGACAGACCCUUGGUUCUCGGAAUACCUCCUACGGAUCGGCAAUGGAACGGAAGAAACAAUUGGCAACGACUAUGUGCAUCUCCCUGAAGACAUUGUGAUUGCUUAUACCGACGAUGAAGAACCUAUUAACAAGCUUAUCGAAGAUGUCUUCCCAUCCCUACACACCAAUGCUAGGUCGAGAGAGUACAUGAGCACACGUGCAAUUCUCUCGACCAAAAACGAGCAUGUGGAUGACUUGAAUGACAAGAUGAUCUCCAGAUUUCCAGGCGAGGAAAAGGUGUACCAUAGCUUUGACUAUAUCGAGGAUGACUUCCAGAACAAUUACACAAUUGACUUCCUGAACUCGAUCACACCAAAUGGGUUGCCCCCGCAUGUCUUGAGAGUAAAAAUCAACUGCCCGGUCAUUUUGCUACGGAACCUCGACCCUCAUAAUGGGCUAUGUAAUGGAACACGCCUUAUGAUCAGGGCCUUCCAGGAUAAUGCAAUCGAUGCUGAGAUUGUUGGUGGCCAGCAUGCUGGAAAGAGGGUGUUCAUACCUAGGAUCCCUAUGUCGCCCUCGGAGGACACCUCGCUUCCGUUCAAGCUUAAGAGAAAACAGUUCCCGAUCCGCCUGAGUUUUGCGAUGACCAUUAACAAGGCAUAG
This 2421-nucleotide ribosomal RNA is filed under the name Triticum aestivum (bread wheat). RNAcentral describes it as "partial small subunit ribosomal RNA". The record is from RNAcentral. Lineage: Eukaryota; Viridiplantae; Streptophyta; Magnoliopsida; Poales; Poaceae.